Syngnathus typhle (broad-nosed pipefish) is the source of this 1122-nucleotide long non-coding RNA. RefSeq lists it as uncharacterized. The record is from RefSeq and is a predicted model, not a curated record. NCBI's taxonomy places the organism in Eukaryota, Metazoa, Chordata, Actinopteri, Syngnathiformes, Syngnathidae. The transcript has 3 exons.
GUCCAUCACUUUAUAAGUACAUCGGCGUCUCCUGGCCUGUGAGGAGUCGGAACAUGGCUGCAGGCAUAGUCUUCAUGUGAAUCUAAAAGUCAACCAACAAAGAAAAAAAUCAGGUAGCGAGUGGCAGCCCAACCAGGCUGGUGUUGUUGAUGGACAUGAUCUGGUCUCCGAUGCUGAGCUUGCCCGAGCGUGCCGCAGGACCGCCGUUCAUCAUGUUGGCUAAAAUGACAGUAGGCAGGAUGGAGCCCCAGCCGGACUCCACAAUCACCACACCGAGGAUCUCACCUUUGCUCUUCUCCAGCUGCAGCUGUGUUCGUGGGAGCAGAGGAGAGGUCCUCUGGGUUGAUUCCAUUUGCUCUCAAGAACUCCUGAUAAGCAACACUGAAAGCCUGGCCGAUGGACUGGGCGAUGAGCUGAGCCUGUGUACAAAAACACAAUAAAAUAAAUAAGGUAAAUAAGGUCACCAGUCAGCCAUUCAGGUUUUACGUUUAAAGAUGUUAGUCAUUGUGGUGACAUCCCAGGCAGAAAGAAGUUUGCUUUUAAUUUCGUUGCAUUUUUCAAUGCAUAUUUCCAUCUAAUUUGGUUUAACUGAUUAUAGCAAUUAUUACAUAAAAAUGCAAAGCAAAAGUUCUCCUUUCUAUAAUUGGAUUAUUAAUGUUUUGCUAAGUAGAAUUGUAUUAAAAAAAACACAUUUUGUAUCACCUUUAUAGGCUUUUCAAAAACUAUGAGUCAAUUUAGCAAGGUGAUCAAAUAAAUAAAUAAAUAAAUAAAAUACGAGAUCAUAGCUGAAAAUAACUCAAGGGAGGAGUCUUGUUCGCAUUUUCUAAGGCCCUAGUCAUUUUAGCUAGCCAGAGCCAAUUCCUCUAUAUGAAUAAAUAAAAAAAUAUAUAAAUUUGAUAUUAGUUUAUGUAUAAUAAAUAUUAUUUCAUGUGUGUAUUUGAACAGUUGUAAUAGAUAUUCCUAUUUUGCAAAUUUCCAAAUUGGUAAAACACAUUAUUGACCCUCAUACAGAUCUCUAAUGUACGUAGGUGGGUAUGUGGCAUCACCAUGGAAAUUACAAAUGCUACUCUUCAGACAUAACAAGCAAGGAAAAAAUAACAUCAUCAUUAAAGAAACUUACAU